RNAcentral lists this non-coding RNA (29 nucleotides) under Bombyx mori (domestic silkworm). Lineage: Eukaryota; Metazoa; Arthropoda; Insecta; Lepidoptera; Bombycidae. The record is from RNAcentral.
UUGAGUAUGAACGUCUCAAAUAUGACACU